Mizuhopecten yessoensis (Yesso scallop) is the source of this 1090-nucleotide long non-coding RNA. RefSeq lists it as uncharacterized. Lineage: Eukaryota; Metazoa; Mollusca; Bivalvia; Pectinida; Pectinidae. The record is from RefSeq and is a predicted model, not a curated record. The transcript is spliced from 2 exons.
UCUCAGUGAGUGUGACAAUAACCGGCGAUUGUUGCAAGGGAGUUCAGAAUGUCAUCGAGAGCACAAAUAAUAUACUUUUUGUCAACCCGCAUGGGGGCUGUCAUUGGUCUUGGUGCUGUUACGUUUUAUUUCAUGUCGAGCUCUGAUGACUCUACAGUAGAGCGUCGAAAGGAGGAAGGUUACCCAUACGAUGCAAAAACUGCAUAUUAUAGAAGAAAAUUUAUGGAAAAUGUAGACAAGAAAGAGAAAAAGUAAUGAUGACUUGUAGAUGAAGUGUUUCAUUUUGCUGAAGAUGAAGAAAUGGACAGGAAUGUGAUUUUCACAUGUUUGACAUCAUUAUGUUUGACAUCAUCUGAAAUUGGUAGCAUGUGUGUCACCUGAACUUCAAGUCUUAAAAAUCAUCCCUGUGUUCCAAGAAUGUGUAAAUGGUUGAGCAAAGAUCAUGGAAGUACAUUUUAUGACGCCUUCACACUUAAUACUGUACUGAGGAAUUUGAUACAUGUGUCUUAUCUCUUAAUAUACAAUGAGGGACAAAAUGGUGAUCAUUUAUAUCAUUCUUGUUUGAAGUGUUAAAUAUGAAGCUAUUAAUAUAACUGAUAACAAGAUUUUUCACGACACCCCUUUUUGACUGUCCUGCUCCCAGUGGUACACGCUUGAUCAUCAUAAUGGCACAUUAAUACCAAUAAGUCUAUGUUAUAUUUGAAAUUUAUAAAUGUACAUUGGUGAAAGACAGACUGUAAGAGCUGAUUAUUUCUCCCCUGCCAAAAGUUUCCCCCGAGAAAGAAACUUGUGAUCACGAAAGAAGAGUACAGUAUGCCUUGAAUGGUUCAGCUGUUGAAUUUUGGAUUUAGAACAUGGUUUUUGAAUGAAAGUGGAUGUGAAUGGAAAUGUGAAUGACUCAGUUAAAGAAUGUGAAUACAUUGUACAUGUGAAUGACCUCACCUAUAUAGUGUUUUAAUGGAAAUGAAUUGUCAUUCCCUGUUUUGUCGGGUAUAAAUGUACAGUUAUUAUUUAACAGUGACAACAUGAUAGAUGUGUUUACUUUUGUAUUUGUUUUGUUACUGAAUUAAAAGCUGAAAGCUACAUAAAC